RNAcentral lists this ribosomal RNA (430 nucleotides) under uncultured Acidobacteriota bacterium. RNAcentral describes it as "bacterial SSU rRNA". It matches the Rfam family "Bacterial small subunit ribosomal RNA", at positions 1 to 315 of the family's 1533-position model. Lineage: Bacteria; Pseudomonadati; Acidobacteriota. The record is from RNAcentral.
CUAAAGUUUGAUCCUGGCUCACAAUCAACGCUGGCGGCGUGCCUAACUUUGCACGUCGAACGCGGUUACUCCCGCAAGGGAGUAACUGACUGGCGAACGGGUGAGUAACACGUGGGUGACCUACCUUCGAGUGGGGGAUAACGUCUCGAAAUGGACGCUAAUACCGCAUAACAUCCUGCCUUUGAAGAGGCGGAUAUCUAAGCCGGGGAUUUUAUGAGCUGUCACUUGAUGACGGGCUCUCGUCUUAUUAUCUAGCUGGCGGUGUAACGGCCCAGCAACGCAAGAGCAGAAGCCAUGAUGACAUGCCGUCAUCGACAUCUAGGAGGGGAAUAUAUAGAGGGUAAUCCUACUAAGCGCCCCGAGAGGCAUAAUGCCCAGAAACAAAAGGGAGAAAACACCAAAACGCGAAUAGAACAUCGCUCCCACUUCG